This 584-nucleotide long non-coding RNA is filed under the name Pongo abelii (Sumatran orangutan). RNAcentral's name for it is "lincRNA". The record is from RNAcentral. Lineage: Eukaryota; Metazoa; Chordata; Mammalia; Primates; Hominidae.
CGCCCGCGGGGCUGCAGCUCCCGGCUCGCACUCCAUCAUCGACGGAUGACAGCGGGAACGGUGGGAGUUCAUUACAGGGACCAUGAAUUGUUGGAGAGGAAUCUGAAGAAACAUGCUGGAUGUCCCUGGAGGAGGAGCUGAACCAUUUGAGUGGGGGCUUCACUGACUCCCCACACACAGGGCACUGGGGGAGAGCAGCCACAUGACCGGCAGGUGGGGGCUUUUGCUGCUGGUGGGAGGGGAUGAGGAGGGCACCAGUCCGGCCCUGAGACAACCCCCCAGACCAACCCUGACUAGGACACUCUGCAGGAUGUCAAGCAGUGCCCCCAAAAGCUGUCAAGGCCGUCCUAGACCAGUGGGGCCUCAGGAGAUGGUGCAGAGUCCCGGACCAGACAAACGGCACUGGGAAAGCAGGAACCCAAAGGAAGGCUGGAAUUCAGGGAAGAGCCACAUGCCAGGCUGUGACGAAGGUGACGAGAUGAAACACUGGGGGGGGUGGGGGGGGGGAGGCAUCCGAACUCUAUGUGCUGUCUUUGCACUACUCUGUAAAUCUAAAAUUAUUCAGAAGUGAAAGUUAAAAAUCA